CGGCGGACGGGUGAGUAACACGUGGAUAACCUACCUAUAAGACUGGGAUAACUUCGGGAAACCGGAGCUAAUACCGGAUAAUAUAUUGAACCGCAUGGUUCAAUGGUGAAAGACGGUUUUGCUGUCACUUAUAGAUGGAUCCGCGCCGCAUUAGCUAGUUGGUAAGGUAACGGCUUACCAAGGCAACGAUGCGUAGCCGACCUGAGAGGGUGAUCGGCCACACUGGAACUGAGACACGGUCCGGACUCCUACGGGAGGCAGCAGUC
RNAcentral lists this ribosomal RNA (266 nucleotides) under uncultured Staphylococcus sp. Its description in RNAcentral is "partial 16S ribosomal RNA". It matches the Rfam family "Bacterial small subunit ribosomal RNA", at positions 96 to 355 of the family's 1533-position model. The record is from RNAcentral. Lineage: Bacteria; Bacillati; Bacillota; Bacilli; Caryophanales; Staphylococcaceae.